AUACUUGUCUGGCAAGAGGAGAUGCUAUAAUCAUGAAGAUGGUUUUUCCCAGGGGCGAGGCUUGUCCACUGAAUUCUAGAUGUGAUGACACCAGCAAUCUCCCCAAAUGCGGGGGACUCAGCUGCACAAUUCAUGGGUGGGCUGCAUUCAUACUCUCCUUCA
Mesocricetus auratus (golden hamster) is the source of this 162-nucleotide small nuclear RNA. Its record names the gene U1. It matches the Rfam family "U1 spliceosomal RNA". Rfam says of the family: U1 is a small nuclear RNA (snRNA) component of the spliceosome (involved in pre-mRNA splicing). Its 5' end forms complementary base pairs with the 5' splice junction, thus defining the 5' donor site of an intron. Lineage: Eukaryota; Metazoa; Chordata; Mammalia; Rodentia; Cricetidae. The record is from Ensembl.